Molecule: unclassified non-coding RNA, 153 nt
Filed under: uncultured Setophoma
Lineage: Eukaryota; Fungi; Ascomycota; Dothideomycetes; Pleosporales; Phaeosphaeriaceae
Description: sequence contains ITS2
Source: RNAcentral
GUACCUUCAAGCUUUGCUUGGUGAUGGGUGUUUGUCCAAUCUUCAGAUUAGACUCGCCUCAAAAUUAUUGGCAGCCGGCAUAUUGGCCUUUGGAGCGCAGCACAUUUUGCGAUCUAAGCCUGUAUACUGGUAUCCAUGAAGCCUCUUUAUCAC